AUGGAGCUGAAAAUUGAAAUGCAGUCGUCAGGACCGGAAUUAUGGUAUGACUAUCGCUACGUGCAUUCAGUAACUGUGUGAUGAAAGAACGGGUUUUACUAGUUACUGAUGAAUAAACGUGGCCUUCAUCCAACACUCAAGAACCAAAUAAGUAGUCAAAACGGUAGUCCAGGUGUACCCUGAUCAUCCUAGGUCACAUGACUAAAGGAAACCCGAAAUUAUGUUUAUCUUUUGGGCACUACAUGGCAGUACACUCCACCUGAAGAUCCAUGAAAAGGAACAAGGAUGAUAAAUAAUAAGUAAAUGAAGAUUGGAAAUGAAAAAAAAUAGAGAAAUAGUAAUUUUUCUGGACUUCAUGUUAAGUUUAACUUUUGGACACUGCAUGGCAGUAUGCUCUAACAGAACAUCUACGAAAACCAACAAAUGUGAUAAAUACAAACUAAAUAAAGUUGGAAAUGAAUAAAAUAGAGAAGGUGGAGGGUUUCUAUACUGAACAUAAUUGCAGAACCAUGGUCGUGAAUAAACGAUGUACUUGUGAAUCGCACAAUUGUCUUGUUUUUCCUCAG
Limulus polyphemus (Atlantic horseshoe crab) is the source of this 566-nucleotide long non-coding RNA. RefSeq lists it as uncharacterized. NCBI's taxonomy places the organism in Eukaryota, Metazoa, Arthropoda, Merostomata, Xiphosura, Limulidae. The transcript has 3 exons. The record is from RefSeq and is a predicted model, not a curated record.